This 894-nucleotide ribosomal RNA is filed under the name uncultured beta proteobacterium. RNAcentral's name for it is "bacterial SSU rRNA". It matches the Rfam family "Bacterial small subunit ribosomal RNA", at positions 8 to 898 of the family's 1533-position model. The record is from RNAcentral. Lineage: Bacteria; Pseudomonadati; Pseudomonadota; Betaproteobacteria.
AGGGUUUGAUCAUGGCUCAGAUUGAACGCUGGCGGCAUGCCUUACACAUGCAAGUCGAACGGUAACAGGUCUUUCGGGAUGCUGACGAGUGGCGAACGGGUGAGUAAUACAUCGGAACGUGCCUAGUAGUGGGGGAUAACUACUCGAAAGAGUGGCUAAUACCGCAUGAGAUCUAUGGAUGAAAGCAGGGGACCUUCGGGCCUUGUGCUACUAGAGCGGCCGAUGGCAGAUUAGGUAGUUGGUGGGAUAAAAGCUUACCAAGCCUACGAUCUGUAGCUGGUCUGAGAGGACGAUCAGCCACACUGGGACUGAGACACGGCCCAGACCCCUACGGGAGGCAGCAGUGGGGAAUUUUGGACAAUGGGGGAAACCCUGAUCCAGCAAUGCCGCGUGCAGGAUGAAGGCCUUCGGGUUGUAAACUGCUUUUGUACGGAACGAAAAGUCUUGGGUUAAUACCCUGGGAUCAUGACGGUACCGUAAGAAUAAGCACCGGCUAACUACGUGCCAGCAGCCGCGGUAAUACGUAGGGUGCAAGCGUUAAUCGGAAUUACUGGGCGUAAAGCGUGCGCAGGCGGUUUUGUAAGACAGUGGUGAAAUCCCCGGGCUCAACCUGGGAACUGCCAUUGUGACUGCAAGGCUGGAGUGCGGCAGAGGGGGAUGGAAUUCCGCGUGUAGCAGUGAAAUGCGUAGAUAUGCGGAGGAACACCGAUGGCGAAGGCAAUCCCCUGGGCCUGCACUGACGCUCAUGCACGAAAGCGUGGGGAGCAAACAGGAUUAGAUACCCUGGUAGUCCACGCCCUAAACGAUGUCAACUGGUUGUUGGGAAUUUAUUUUCUCAGUAACGAAGCUAACGCGUGAAGUUGACCGCCUGGGGAGUACGGCCGCAAGGUUAAA